This 328-nucleotide long non-coding RNA is filed under the name Physcomitrium patens. RNAcentral's name for it is "long non-coding RNA (PPAT_LNC006221)". Lineage: Eukaryota; Viridiplantae; Streptophyta; Bryopsida; Funariales; Funariaceae. The record is from RNAcentral.
UUAGGGUCACACAAUCAAUUACCUCCUGAAUGUAUUGUCUCUAUUUUUAAUAUCUGAAUAUACAAGGAAACUAUAAUCUCUUCCUUCACCUUAUCGGUCUCUUCCUUACAGCAAUUCAGUCAUACCAAUAAUUACUAUUUCCACCAAUAUAUUCACCCUCAUAAUCUCCAACUGUAAUACUACACCUUCACAGCUUUCAGCACACAAUUAUCCUCGUUCCAAUCUCUGGAAUUCUUCACACAGAACUGCCAUUUACAUUACAGUGUUUCACACAAACACAGACUCAUUCUCUCUGCUGAACUAUAAUCAGAUUUCAGUAUUCAAUCUU